This 253-nucleotide ribosomal RNA is filed under the name uncultured prokaryote. RNAcentral describes it as "partial 16S ribosomal RNA". It matches the Rfam family "Bacterial small subunit ribosomal RNA", at positions 524 to 776 of the family's 1533-position model. The record is from RNAcentral.
UACGGAGGGUGCAAGCGUUAUCCGGAUUUACUGGGUUUAAAGGGUGCGUAGGUGGGUAAGAAAGUCAGUGGUGAGAUCUCCGGGCUUAACCCGGAAACUGCCAUUGAUACUGAUGGGCUUGAGUACAGUUGAGGUAGGCGGAAUGUGUCAUGUAGCGGUGAAAUGCUUAGAUAUGACACAGAACACCGAUUGCGAAGGCAGCUUGCUAAACUGUAACUGACGCUGAGGCACGAAAGCGUGGGUAGCAAACAGG